CCGUCUCCCAUAAUAUUUUCAAACGUUGCAGCUAAGACCCCAAUGGAUGGAAAGCAUCCAAUUCAACGUUAGUAGACAAAAAAAUUGAGUUUGACUACAUUUUUAUAAAUAUUUUUAUGAAGGGUAGAAUAUUAACUUUUUAUUUAUCAAAUUAACUAAUUACAUUAGUUAAAUUAAAAAACAAAAAAAAAAAUAGAUAGUAAAUCUAUAAACCCAUAUACAAGAUCGUCUCUUUGGUGAAGCAGUAGCACUCCUCCGUCUACGACUCCUUCGCAGCAGUGGCUCCUCAUCUACAAGCCCGUCUCUUUGGUGGAGCAGUAGCACUCCUCCGUUGACGACUCCUCUACAGGUAGCGGCUCUUCGUCCAGAAGCCUGUCUCUCCAGUGGAGCAACAACACUCCUCUGUCAACGACUCCGUCGGCGACAACUCCUCAUCUACAAGCCCAAUUUUCCCUUCAAUAUUCUCCAAUGGAUAGCAAAUCAAAGGCACUUUUUCACCAGAUUUCUCAAAAGUGCUCCCAACAAUUUUCACUUUUUCGAGAAAAUUACUUAUCUUCACUCAUUUAUUAUUGUACAUGUUGAGCUCCAACAUUUUUCGAAUGCCAUGGAUUCAACAUUGUGGACAAAGUUUUGAGCUUUUAGCUUAAUCGAGUAUUAAGUUCCCAUAAAAUUGUCUUGGUAAGGCGUCGUUGGCCCUCAAAAUUCACAAUCACAUGUGCACUGGCCAUGCCUUGUCCAUCUUUGGGCAUCAGCUUCUUGGUCAAUUUAACUCAAGGAGGAAUGUCAAAUUCAAUUUGAGAAUUCAUUUUGUAGAAAUUGAUUUGGAAAAAUCCGAUUUGAGAAAUAAAUUUUUGAAGAAGAAAGUGAUUUUGGUGUUGGGUGACUGGAGAGUAAAGGGUGAAGGGAGAGGAGGUGGUGGCGACGACAGUGAUGACGAUUUUGGUUAGUGUGGGCUGGGUAAGUUGGAAAAGAGGUGGGAGGAAGAAAAUACAUUUUUUAUUUUUCCUUUUUUCUUUUUUUUCGAUUUUUAAAUUAAUUAAUGUAAUUAUUUUAUUUGGUAAAUAGAAAGUUACUAUUUUGCUUUUCAUAAAAAUAUUGAAAAAUAUGAUCAAACUCAAUUUUUUGGUCAACUAACGGUGAAUUGGAUAUUUUCCAUCCAUCAAAAUCUUAGCUGCAACGUUUGAAAAGAUUAAGAGUGACGGUUACAACNGAGUAUUAAGUUCCCAAAAAAUUGUCUUGGUAAGGUGUCGUUGGCCCUUGAAAUUCACAAUCACAUGUGCACUGGUCGUGCCUUGUCCAUCUUUGGGCAUCAGAUUCUUGGUCAAUUUAACUCAAGGAGGAAUGUCAAAUUCAAUCUGAGAAUUCAUUUUGUAGAAAUUGAUUUGGAAAAAUCCAAUUUGAGAAAUAAAUUUUUGAAGAAGAAAGUGAUUUUGGUGUUGGGUGACUGGCGAGUAAAGGGUGAAGGAAGAGGAGGUGGUGGCGACGACAAUGGUGGCGAUUUUGGUUAGUGUGGGCUGUGUAAGUUGGAAAAGAGGUGGGAGGAAGAAGAUACAG
Molecule: long non-coding RNA, 1554 nt
Filed under: Olea europaea subsp. europaea
Lineage: Eukaryota; Viridiplantae; Streptophyta; Magnoliopsida; Lamiales; Oleaceae
Source: RNAcentral